RNAcentral lists this ribosomal RNA (735 nucleotides) under uncultured Fusobacterium sp. Its description in RNAcentral is "bacterial SSU rRNA". It matches the Rfam family "Bacterial small subunit ribosomal RNA", at positions 28 to 776 of the family's 1533-position model. Lineage: Bacteria; Fusobacteriati; Fusobacteriota; Fusobacteriia; Fusobacteriales; Fusobacteriaceae. The record is from RNAcentral.
GAUGAACGCUGACAGAAUGCUUAACACAUGCAAGUCAACUUGAAUUUGGGUUUUUAACUUAGGUUUGGGUGGCGGACGGGUGAGUAACGCGUAAAGAACUUGCCUCACAGCUAGGGACAACAUUUGGAAACGAAUGCUAAUACCUAAUAUUAUGAUAAUAGGGCAUCCUAUAAUUAUGAAAGCUAUAAGCGCCGUGAGAGAGCUUUGCGUCCCAUUAGCUAGUUGGAGAGGUAACGGCUCACCAAGGCGAUGAUGGGUAGCCGGCCUGAGAGGGUGAUCGGCCACAAGGGGACUGAGACACGGCCCUUACUCCUACGGGAGGCAGCAGUGGGGAAUAUUGGACAAUGGACCAAGAGUCUGAUCCAGCAAUUCUGUGUGCACGAUGAAGUUUUUCGGAAUGUAAAGUGCUUUCAGUUGGGAAGAAAAAAAUGACGGUACCAACAGAAGAAGUGACGGCUAAAUACGUGCCAGCAGCCGCGGUAAUACGUAUGUCACGAGCGUUAUCCGGAUUUAUUGGGCGUAAAGCGCGUCUAGGUGGUUAUGUAAGUCUGAUGUGAAAAUGCAGGGCUCAACUCUGUAUUGCGUUGGAAACUGUAUAACUAGAGUACUGGAGAGGUAAGCGGAACUACAAGUGUAGAGGUGAAAUUCGUAGAUAUUUGUAGGAAUGCCGAUGGGGAAGCCAGCUUACUGGACAGAUACUGACGCUGAAGCGCGAAAGCGUGGGUAGCAAACAGG